UAGAUAUCUGGGUCCACAGCAGACACUGAUUCAAACCCUGGGAAGUGGGGUGUGGCAUAGCCACUUCUUUCUGAUGGCUGUCCAUGUUAAAACGUAUUGCUAGUGUGUUUGAUAUUCUGUCUUCCAGGAUAUGAAGUCACAGACUGCUUAAGUCCAUACCAUGUUCUCUUGUUACUGCCUUAAAUACCAGUGUGUUGCAUGGCAUAUCAAAUAGACAAAUCAAUUCCUUCGUGUACGUUUAUCCAGAUAUUCACAUAGUGGCCUCUUUAGUGAACACCUUGUUCCUGCACUGUGAAGACUAGCACGGGUCCUUGUAUAUCGUGUUAGAUAGGCAAACUGUCAGUAAGCAGAAGAAAUCAGUAAUCACAGCAAUUCCGUGUAUUAUUGGCGCUUUAAAGAUCAUAAAGGGGACAGGAAAUAGUUGUGAUGGGGAUUGUCGUAUGUGAUGUUACCCCCAAAGGUUUCAGAAGUUAGCAUGUGAUCUGAGUCCUGAAUGGCAAAUAGAAGCAAGACCGUGCACAAACCAAGUUGUGGGCGUGCUUGCUUCCAUGGAGAACAGUGGAUCUAAGAGCAGAGAACAAGGCUAGUUGCCAGAACCUUGAAGACAACGUGGACACUGCUUGGGGAUAGGACAGAAAGGAAAAUGUUGUCAUUGUCAGCUGUGUAUGACAUUUGGAUUAUAUGAUCUGUGUGGAAGGGUCUGGGUCAUUGGCUGUGCACACACAUCCACAGACAGUACAACAACAGCCUCUAGUCCCUUGUUGCUGACCUUUGGGAAGCUGGGCAUGUAAGGCCAUACAUGAUCUACAGUGUACUUGUAGAGGUCAGAGGACAACUUGCAGGAGUCAUUUCUCUGCUUCCACAAUGUGAGUCCUGGGGAUCCAACUGAAGUCAUCAGAAGCAGUACUCGGGCUUCUAUUACACUUUAAUACGAUCUACAUAUAAGAACAGGGGAGAAAACAGUGAACUUUCCAUGCAGAACCAACUCCUGGAGAAGAACCAAAUGUGGUGUGGUCUGGUCAGCCUGUUACCUGAGCAAGAGUGACAAGAUCAUGUGGGACUCACCAGGGUUGGUACAUGCACACAGAAGAACCAAGACUGUGGAAUUCUUGGCCCAUCUGUUGGCUCACCAGGCAAAGGUGCUUACAGCCCAGCCCAAUGAGUUUGAGGCCUGGAACCUACUUGGUGGAAGAAAAGAGCCAACUCCUGUAAAUUGUCCUCUGAUCUUGAACACACUACAUCCCAGCACAAUAAAUAUAUACAAUAAAUUCUUGUUAAAGCUAUGAAUUUUUCUACUGCUCAAGGAAGCAGUCCCUCUUCUCCCGCUGUCCACACUGCUCAGGGCAGAGGUGACCAUGUUCCCAGUUUCCCUAGAGCCUUUCCUUCGGGAACCCUGACCCUGAGGCGGUGUUUCACAAUGUUCCUUCCAUCCCUGCUCUUGCAGGGUGAGGUAAGUGUCCAGGUGGCCGCAGAAAUGGGAAGAGUCUGGUCCUCCCAGUGGCUGAGAUGAGCAGCCUCUCUUGCCACACAACCUCCACAAGAGGAAGAUGCAGAUGAGAUUAAGAAAAAACAAGGGGAAAACGUGGCAGGAGCCUUCAGUAUUCCUUCCAUACCAGGUGACAGGCGGGCUUGGAGUCCAGCCCUCUGAAGAAUGUCAGAAAGCUCUGGAAUUCAUGUACUUCCCUGAGCUAUGUGGUAGCAGGCCUCACUAUGUUUACAGUGGAAAAUCCCCGCCAGUCGUGUGGGAGCAUAAUAGAGACAGUGAGUUUGUAUGUGCAGGGGCUCUGGAUUGGGGUAUGUGAUAGGAAACAGUCCUGCUGUUCCCACAUGGAUCAGGAGAUGUCUCCUGACUCCAUUUUUAACAGAUUAUUUUAUCACCAUGAAAUGGCAUCUUUUAAAGUUUUUUAAAUGCUUUUUUGUUGUUGUUAAUGAACAGAAACAAAACUUUUCCUCAAAAUAUAACAGGACAGGGAAAAACUUUUCCCAAUUUUCAUUGGUUAUCUUUGCCUUUAGAUUUACUUUAAUCCUGGGGAGGAGGGCUAUGUAUGUGAAUGUCAGUGUCCAGCAGUGUUGGAUCCUGGAGGCUGGAGUUGCACAUGGUUUGAGCUUCCUGUCAUUCGUGCUGGGAUUUGAACUCAGGUCCUCUGGGGAAGCAAGUAUCGCUCCUAACCAAUGAACCAUCUAUGGCCUCAGCUCCCCAAGGGUUAAGGUUAGGGUUAGAGUUAGGUCCUUCUAUGUACCAUAUAGUAUGUGAAGGAUUGCAAUUCUGUAAAAAUCCCUCGGCUCAUUUGAGAGAUAAUCACUGGAAAUGUAAUUUUUCAAAAGCUUUCCUAUUAUGUCCAGAAGAUGCCACGAACCAGAGUGUACUGAUUUUUCUGUUACCCUGAAUGCAUGGAUCCUUGAAUUCCCAUCAGCCGCCACAGUUCUCAUGGCUAUAGACCAACUGUCUAGACAGCUUGUGAUCCUGCCAUUCUGACAUGAAUCAUCAGAUGUUACCUGCCUCCACUGGAGGGUGGGGUUGAGACGGGGUGUCUCUGUAGUUUUGGAGCCCUCCUGGAACUAGCUCUUGUAGAUCAGGCUGGCCUUGAGCUCACAGAGAUCCACCUGCCUCUACCUCCCGAGUGUUGGGAUUAAAGGUGUGCGC
Molecule: long non-coding RNA, 2644 nt
Organism: Microtus oregoni (creeping vole)
Lineage: Eukaryota; Metazoa; Chordata; Mammalia; Rodentia; Cricetidae
Exons: 5
Source: RefSeq, a predicted model, not a curated record